ACCGGACCCGCACAGCGGGUGGCUCCUCCGAGCGCCAUCCCUCGGUAACCA
This 51-nucleotide non-coding RNA is filed under the name Rhizobium sp. LC145. RNAcentral's name for it is "sul1 RNA". It matches the Rfam family "sul1 RNA". Lineage: Bacteria; Pseudomonadati; Pseudomonadota; Alphaproteobacteria; Hyphomicrobiales; Rhizobiaceae. The record is from Rfam by way of RNAcentral.